Biomphalaria glabrata is the source of this 1228-nucleotide long non-coding RNA. RefSeq lists it as uncharacterized. The record is from RefSeq and is a predicted model, not a curated record. The transcript is spliced from 3 exons. Lineage: Eukaryota; Metazoa; Mollusca; Gastropoda; Planorbidae.
CUCGUCGUCGUUAUAUUCCAUUCUAAUCGCUACAGCAACGUCCGAUUUCAACUAGCUGUUAGAUAUUAGUCUCAGAAGCUAAUAGUGUUUUAGAGAUGUUUUCUAAUUUGUCAAGUUCUUUACUCAUAAAUUGUUACAUUAUUGUCGGCAGUUUUUAUUCUAGAUCUAGAUUUAAGUCUGUCGCUUAUUUCAAUACAUGAGACUGAGACCUUAUACUACAGUUUAUACUGAAAAUGUGAGCGUAUCAGUAUCAAACUAUCUAUAAUUAUAAUAGACUAGAUCUACUAAAGAUCUUAACAUGAAUUUGGUAUGGCAAGUUAGUCUAUAUAGUAGGCUAUAUGCAAAAUAUGCAUCAGGCUUAGGUCAAUCAGUAGACCUGAAAUAUAUGGUAGUCCGCUGGAGAAAGAAAAUCCAGAUUAUAUGGUAGAUCUAGCAGAAUCUAGCUACAUCUACGUUUCGCUAUAGUUUAAGUUUAAGAUAUAGUCUUUAACUAUAAUUUAGAGCCUAGGCCUAGGUAGAUUCUAGAAGUAGAUCUAGAUAGUGAAUUGAAAGAAUAGAUCUAGAUCUAGUAUUAGUAAUUAGAAUGACAUAGCCCAGACUCAGAAGACGCGCAGUUUGGCGAAAAGAAAUUAGGUAUGUUCUUGAUCUGCUAGACCUAUCUCAAAGUGCUUAUAAUAAGCAAAAGCCAGUUAUGACUUGCCACAACCAGUACACCAGCACCUUGCUAACCAUAUUGAUAGUCAGGAAUGGGUUCACUUUUUAUGAUAAGGUUAUAUCACGAUGUUAAUGAGAUACCGCGUCAACAUACUCUGCGCUACUUAGUGUGGCUGCUUGCCACGCAUAGCAAGUGCUUUGAAUAGAUGCACUUGACAGUCGCCUAUUAUAACGAGUUGAUCCAGUUAGAAGUUUGCAGUGGUUAGGACAGUUCUACGUUAGCGUUGUAUCCACAAAAUAUAGUAUGCACACACAUCAUAUCUCCAGGGAAGGCUAAAGAAGAGAGCAGUUGUUUGUUUGGAAUAUGAACUGUAUACAUGGACAUGUGAUAAGUGAUGUAUUACAUUAAAUGAAAGACCUCUAGUUUUGUACAAUUAUAAUCCUAUUUUAAUCUGUUAAAAUCUAUCUUGUGAUUGUUUCUGACAUCUUUUACUCCACUUUGGCUUGCAUGUCCUAUUGAAGACUAGUUGUCUUUUUAUUUUGAUAAAAGUGAAUUAAAUAAGGAAUUAUUCUA